This 378-nucleotide ribosomal RNA is filed under the name Triticum aestivum (bread wheat). Its description in RNAcentral is "partial small subunit ribosomal RNA". The record is from RNAcentral. Lineage: Eukaryota; Viridiplantae; Streptophyta; Magnoliopsida; Poales; Poaceae.
AUGCAAGGAAGCAGGAGUGUGUCUUUAGGAGGCUUUAGGCGUUCCUACUCACCUGCCCCCUCUGGUGACAACAAUGGAAACGACAAUAAUCCAUGGUGUAUCCGGUCUCCUUCACCAUCUCUCAGUGCUGGUUCGAUCGACUCUCGCAUGGGAGUGUUUCCUCUUCAACACAAUGAACCUUCAGGCACAUUUCAGGAUAAAGGCAAUCUUGGUUCCACUCGAGGGGGAAACACACUGAAUCUUGAGGAAGAUCAACAGGGGGAGUCUAUGGAUCAUGAUUGGGCAGCGACGCAUGGCCCUAACGCGCCUCGGGUGCCACGAGGCUCAUCGCAUGGAACUGCCGAGGGAUGGGGCGAGGCUUCGGCAAUGAAAGGAUGA